AAAAACUUAGGAUAUUUAAACCAAAAGCCUUCAAAGCUUUUAAAAAGGGUGUAAACCCU
This 59-nucleotide transfer RNA is filed under the name Anolis brevirostris. RNAcentral describes it as "partial tRNA-Trp". Lineage: Eukaryota; Metazoa; Chordata; Lepidosauria; Squamata; Anolidae. The record is from RNAcentral.